Molecule: non-coding RNA, 1714 nt
Organism: Cicer arietinum (chickpea)
Lineage: Eukaryota; Viridiplantae; Streptophyta; Magnoliopsida; Fabales; Fabaceae
Source: RefSeq, a predicted model, not a curated record
UUGAGUGAUAUAAAAUAUUUGAGAACAAUUUCAAUUUUUUCCUUCUAAAUAUGUUCCCACUUUUUGAGUUUGAAAUAAGAUUUUGGCAACAGGGGCAAAAUUACUUGGGCGAUAUAAGAGUAAAAGGGGCUUUGUGUCAAGAACGCAAGGAAUUGCAGAACCUGAAGCAUGAUGGCUUCUAGAGCAACGGUAUAUACAUAUAUUCAUUAAUCCUCUUUCAUUCAAACAUCAAUAUUCGUGGAGGACCAAGGCAUUAUAAGAGAGGUAUUUAUGUGAUUUCAUUUGAACUAAUUUUAAUUUGAUGAAAUUUUCAUUUAUUAGCUCUUAGACAUAUUUUUGGAAUAAAAAAAAUAACAGUUGUGUGUAUUAUUGAUGGGUGGUGAGAUGAAACAUGGAAUUUUUGUUUUUGGUAAAAAUGCAUCAUGGAAUUUGUGCAACAGAUAUUUUUGGUAUUUUACUAUUCUUUUAAUGGCAUUUUCUAUAAAUUAAUUUCUUUGUAAUUUGAUGAUAUGGUUCGCAUACUUCACAUCUUUGCUUAAUUUCUUUCUUUUAUCUUAUGCUUUUUAUUCUUGAUGGUUUAUUUUAUACUUUUUAUUUUGCAAUUUAUAUUUGAAGUGCAGUUUCUAUAUUUUUCAAUUUGAACAUAUUCAUUGUUUGUUCCUUAUAUAUAGUUUUAAUUAUAAUAAGAGUUUCAAUUUGAAAAGAUUCAUUUUUUUUUAGUGAAAAACAGAUUCGUUGUUUGUGCCUUAUUUGUAGUUUUGAUUAUAAUAAAAAUGCUGGCAAAUAAUUUUGUUUAGCAAGAAAGAAAAUUUAUAUUUUGUUGUACUAUCUUAUUAUUAAUAAUAUUUUGUUUAUAAAAAAAAACACACACACACACACACAAACAUGAUAUACUUUUAUGAUGGAAUAUAUAUACCUAUUGAAUUAUAUGUUUAGAUUAGCUUUUGAUUAAUAAAUUCAUUAGACGCAUGCAUUUAUGAAUUAAUUAGCUAGCUAGAAAUAUGCACACAAUAUCUUGUUGUUCCAAGGAACAUCCCCUCUUUGAUAUAACAUAUAUAUUUAGCCAUUCUAAAUGUUAAAUAUGCUAAAUUAUAAGUAGAAGUGUGUUCAUACUUGUUACAAGAUACUUGUCAAUACAUUAAUUCUGGGUUUUCUCUUGUAAUUCAUAAGAUAGGAUAGGAUGAAAAGGAAAGAAAUAUAUGGUAAUAGGGACAUAUAUAUUUUUUGAACCAAUUCACACUUUCAUGUUUUUAUUGGAGCUAGCUAGAUGGUAGUAAAUUACAAUGAGAAAUCAUUUUCAUUCAUGCAUUGUUUCUUCAAGUAAUAUUAGAAAUAGAAAUUCAAGUCUUCCUCUAUCUUUUUAGACUUUGAUGCCUUUUUCUUAUGUAUUAGUAUAUUUGACACAAUAAGUAUAUUAACAGAUCAUAUUGUUUCUUCUUGUAGUUUCUUUUCAAGAGUUACAUCACCUCUUAUACUUCGUUGAAUAAAAUUUUAUUUGUUUUAUACAACAAAAAUUGAUUCCCCAUUAUAUCACUUUUAUAAUUCUUUUGAACUUGUAUAUAGACAUUCAAUGCUUUUCUUGUUAUGUGGUCUGGAACAUCGUCCUAAAAUAUAAAUAAGAAUUGAUGUAUUAAUCCAAAAUUUGUAUUAAAUAUAUUCACUUACUGUAAUCAAAUUUUGUUUACAUUUUGAGAAGAAAAGUAUAUUAUAAAAG